AUUGAACGCUGGCGGCAUGCCUUACACAUGCAAGUCGAACGGCAGCACGGGUGCUUGCCCCUGGUGGCGAGUGGCGAACGGGUGAGUAAUACAUCGGAACAUGUCCUGUAGUGGGGGAUAGCCCGGCGAAAGCCGGAUUAAUACCGCAUACGAUCUACGGAUGACAGCGGGGGACCUUCGGGCCUCGGGCUAUGGGGUUGGCCGAUGGCGGAUUAGCUCGUUGGUGGGGUAAAGGCCGACCAAGGCAACGAUCAGUAGCUGGUCUGAGAGGGCGACCAGCCACACUGGGACUGAGACACGGCCCAGACUCCUACGGGAGGCAGCAGUGGGGAAUUUUGGACAAUGGGCGAAAGCCUGAUCCAGCAAUGCCGCGUGUGUGAAGAAGGCCUUCGGGUUGUAAAGCACUUUUGUCCGGAAAGAAAUACUUGGCCCUAAUACGGUCGGGGGAUGACGGUACCGGAAGAAUAAGCACCGGCUAACUACGUG
Molecule: ribosomal RNA, 486 nt
Filed under: uncultured bacterium
Lineage: Bacteria
Description: partial 16S ribosomal RNA
Rfam family: Bacterial small subunit ribosomal RNA
Source: RNAcentral